CACACACACACAGCACUGAAAAGCUGGGGAGAAAGGGCCAGUGCAUCCAGUGCCUUCAACUCUGUCAGGAAGAGAAGAAUGUAAAGCCCCACCACUGGCAACUUUUUCAGUUCUCCACUCUUUGGUUCGUCACCAUCACUGAUCUGAGGUGUAUACUUGAACUAAGAAAAAGACUACAAAGGCUUCACACCAAAAUGUUGACAAGAGCUUUCUUUGGGAAGUAGGAUCACAGGUACAUUCUUCUUUUUUUCUGUCUGACCCAAGGCUGCCAGGGAAGAAGUGAGUCAGAAGGCUCUGCCUCAAUGUGCCUUCCAAGAGGUUACCUACCCUCUGUACCUCAGUAAGGCCAUGUGCAUCAGUGAAGUGGCACCAUUGGAACAUCGGUGCAGCGGUUUUGCAUCAGGCCAACUUAACUAAUUCCUUCCUAGAAUUACCUUCUGUAUGUAGUUCCUCAGGAUUGCCUACAACAGAUAUUUGUGGAGCAUUCGGAAGGUAGAAGUGAAACGGCAGCUUUCAUGUUGUGAAGGUCAGUGUGUGGCUACGGGGGCUGCUUCAAACUUGUCAACACAUUGUGACCCAUCCUGGGACUUUCCCUGUUGGUGUGGGCCCACAGCCUUCCCCAGCUCCUGCCACAUCUUCCCCUUCAGCUACUUUGAGUCUGGAGCAAAGCUUAUGUCCCAUUCUGUGGUAAAGGGUACCAGCUUUUGGUUUCAAAGUCAAGGUUGAAAGUGGCAAGAGAAAAAUAAAAGUUCCUUUGGGGGUUUCACUUUCGCCUCACUCUCUCCCACCUCACAUCUGGCUUUUCUUCCAGACUUCUGGCCCUGCUGAUCUAUAGCUACUUCAGACCCAUCACUGG
Acinonyx jubatus (cheetah) is the source of this 856-nucleotide long non-coding RNA. RefSeq lists it as uncharacterized. The transcript is spliced from 2 exons. NCBI's taxonomy places the organism in Eukaryota, Metazoa, Chordata, Mammalia, Carnivora, Felidae. The record is from RefSeq and is a predicted model, not a curated record.